UCCGUAGGCGGUGUGGCAAGUCGGUAGUGAAAUCUCUCGGCUUAACUGAGAGGCUGCUGCCGAAACUGCCAUGCUCGAGUGCGAGAGGGGGCGAGUGGAAUUGCGGGUGUAGCGGUGAAAUGCGUAGAUAUCUGCAGGAACAUCCGAGGCGAAAGCGGCUCGCUGGAUCGCAACUGACGCUGAGGGACGAAAGCUAGGGGAGCAAACAGGAUUAGAUACCCUGGUAGUCCUAGCCCUAAACCAUCAGGACUGGGGUUUGCCCUGUACGGGGCAAGGUCCCGGAGCUAACGCGUUAAGUCCUGCGCCUGGGGAGUACGGUCGCAAGGCUGAA
Molecule: ribosomal RNA, 331 nt
Filed under: uncultured bacterium
Lineage: Bacteria
Description: bacterial SSU rRNA
Rfam family: Bacterial small subunit ribosomal RNA
Source: RNAcentral